Molecule: RNA transcript, 4007 nt
Organism: Melopsittacus undulatus (budgerigar)
Lineage: Eukaryota; Metazoa; Chordata; Aves; Psittaciformes; Psittaculidae
Gene: DHRS11
Gene name: dehydrogenase/reductase 11
Exons: 9
Source: RefSeq, a predicted model, not a curated record
UGCGCGGCGGCGGGGCCGGGCCGGGGCCAUGGAGCGCUGGACCGGGCGCGUCGCGCUGGUCACCGGUGCCUCCGUGGGUAUCGGCGCUGCCGUGGCGCGGGCGUUGGUGCAGCAUGGCAUGAAGGUGGUGGGGUGCGCUCGCAGCGUCGACAAGAUCGAGAAACUAGCAGCUGAAUGCCAGAGUGCUGGCUACCCUGGAACCCUCAUCCCAUACAAGUGUGAUCUCUCCAACGAAGAGGAGAUCCUGUCAAUGUUCUCUGCCAUCAAGACCCUUCACCAGGGAGUUGAUGUGUGCAUCAACAACGCAGGGCUGGCUCGCCCAGAGCCCCUACUCUCGGGGAAGACGGAGGGCUGGCGAACGAUGAUAGAUGUCAAUGUGAUGGCUGUAAGCAUCUGCACCCGAGAGGCCUACCAGUCCAUGAAAGAGAGGAACAUUGAUGAUGGGCAUAUUAUUAACAUUAACAGCAUGAAUGGCCACAGUGUUGUGCCACAGUCGGUGGUACAUUUCUACAGUGCCACCAAAUACGCAGUUACAGCCCUCACAGAGGGGCUGAGGCAAGAACUCAGAGAAGCAAAGACUCAUAUACGAGCUACAUGUAUCUCCCCAGGACUGGUGGAAACAGGGUUUGCUUUUAAACUUCAUGACAGUGACCCCGAGAGAGCUGCUGCAACCUACGAGAGCAUUCGGUGUCUCAAAGCUGAAGAUAUGGCUAAUGCUGUCAUAUAUGUCCUCAGUGCCCCACCUCAUGUACAGAUUGGAGAUAUACAGAUGAGGCCCACAGAACAAAUAUCAUAGCAGAUGAAGAGGACUGUGAGCAGCACCGUGUAUCCACUCCACUUCGAACCCUCUGGCAAUUCAGGGUUCCAUCAGCUGGCUGGCAACAUUUUAAUGAAGUACCAAGGAUAAUGUUUGAAGAAUUGUUUUUCUCUCCCUCUCUCUGAGUUGGUGCUGGUGCUGAGCCAGUGUAUGAACAACCAGUAGUGGGUCUCUUGUGCCCCACUCCUUUCUGACACUGUUCUAAGAGUAAAAUGUGUUUGCAAAUAAUGCAGGGAAGUGGUUUGUGGAAGAUUGUUGUCUCCAGGCUGGUUUAUUCUUCCUUUUGCUUUCUUUAUAAGGUUUGUUUGAUGUUAUUUGCUGAUGCUGUGUCUGGACACAGGGGAAGUGGCACAAGGUGUUUGCCAGCUUCAGUGUGCUUAGGGUUUGAGAUGUCACACGUGCAUCCAUCUAAUUUUGGGGUUUAUUUUCAUCAGAUUGAUUACUGAUGGUAAUGAUGCAUGUGAUAUUUUCUACUUCUUACUCCACUGCCCUAAACCCAAUGUACAAUCUCACCCGCCUCCCCAGGCCCUCCUUUCUCAUUCACAUGGAUCAUGCCUGCUGAGUUUGAGGAAGUAUAAAUGUGUGUGCUUGCUAUUUCUCUUUCUUUCUAGGUAGGUAGGUAAAUAGUUGGAGGAUGAGCACCUGUACUUCUGCAGGUUAGAAUGAUAAUCUAAGUGGUAUAGUUACAGUAAGAGUGAGUUGUUUGGUAAUUCAAAUAAAAACUAAAUGUGUGCUGUCUUGUGAUCACCUCUAUCCUUGGUAUCAUCUCCCAGCACUCUUGAUGUUUCUGUAUGUGAUACUUGCAUGCAUUGACACUUUUCUGGAAAUAUUGAUGGGUCUUAGAAAGAUGCUUAAAUGCUGGUUCUGUUUAAAUGCUGGUGAGCUGGGAAUGUUGAAAGUGCUUAUAUGCAGAGAUACACACUUGGAGAGAGUGAGAGUGAAAUGAACCAUGCCAAAGCUGUCCAAAAGGAAAAGAUUUGCCUGCAAAGUAGCAGGUGAAAGGUCUGGUUCAGAUGUUAUAUUAGUUCUACACUGGUGCAGCCCCAUUGUUUUGCUCUGGAUUUAUUCUAGGUUGAGGGAGAAGAGAAUCAGUCUCAAAGCAGAUACGUGCAGAGCUGGAGACCACUUGAGUUGUCUUAAGAUUCUUGGAGUGUGGCAGAAACACAUCUGUGUGUAGUCCAACUCGUUGUGGAGCUGUUAAUGUACGUGUUGCCUUAAGGUUGCAGACUUGCUCCUGCUGUCUCUGGACUUCCUGUAAUGUUUUGAAAGGCAAAAGUUGGUUUAGGUGGAGUAGGAAUGGUCAGUUGGAGUGGAGGAUUGAGAGCCAGAGAAACUUGGGCUGGAUUUGCUUAUACCAGUGGGAGUUCAUCUGUGUUCCAUCACCAUAAGGGAGACUAAAAUUGGGCCACUACGACAUGAAUUUCAACUCCCUAUACAGCCUUGGGCAAGUCACUUUACCUCUCUGCCUCAGUUUCCCCAUCUGUAAAAUGGGGAUAAUAAUACUUACCUACCUCACAGGGGUGUUGUGAGGACUCACAGACUUUUGUAAAGCACUUUGAGAAGCGCUGUGUAAGUGCUGAGUGUUGAGAUGAAGUAUUAUUAUUAAUGAAAACUUGUGAUACUUAGAAAUCCUUGUGCCAAAGGUGAGCAACUGUAGGAUACAAGGAGACAACUGAUAACAUUUACCUUGUAAUGCCAAAACAAAGGCAGUUUGCCCCUUUUUUUCCUCUUUAUAUAAAUACAUGCUCACGCUGUGUUCUGUUCAUUCCUCCUCUGUCCCCAGUUUCUUCUGGCAAGUACUUGUAGCCUCAUCUCUGGAGUUGUCGUUUUCAUUUACUGUGAGUGAAAUUCGUGCCCCAUGAGGUCUUGCACGCCUGUAAUGCACUGCCCUUCUUCACCUUGCUGAGGUGAUGGCUUUGUGUUGGGUUCUUCGCUCAGAGCUGGGUUUCAGCCAUGGCAUUGGAUUAGAUCAUGUCCUGCAAGGAACAGUCAGCCCUGGUCUGCGUGCAGCCAGCAAUCCCUUUUGCCAGCUGGAAAAGCUCUUCUGUCUCCAAGCCACUGUGAUCCUCCAUUCAGAGGCACUUGGCUAAGGAAGGUUCAGUCUCUGCUGUGCUUUUUGUAACACCCCUGUGAUGUUCAGCCAAACUUGAUAUGAAAACUGGUGUUUUUCAUAGUGUCUCUUGCAGGAGCUUGUUGAAGUGCAGUAGAUGUGCUGUGCAGUGUGUGCCAUCUUUUUAAGAGAAGGUGAUUGAACUGGGAAUUCAGAAAGAGUUGAGAAAUUAAGCUAAACCUUUUGUGAACAGUUCAGAGAGAAAUGUGAGGGUUUGGCUCUUCAUAGUUGCUUUCCAGAGCACAACAGCAUCCAGUUGUCUCACUUCAUAACCUGUGGAGUUUGGAUUUGCCCAUCCUUGUUCCAGUGAAGUCACUGAAAUCCUCAGCAUGUCCAAGUGCAGAGCCACAUUCCUGAGCUCAGGUUUACAGUCACUGAAAUCCAUAGUUUUUGCCAGUAAGUCAUGAACAGCUGCAUCAGCAAACAUUAUCUGUCAGAUUGGGAUGAGGUGAGUAGUCUCAGCUCUUUUUUGGGGGGAAGGAGCCAUGAGCAGAGCUGGCCCUGGUAAGGGGCAGGAAAACCAUAAUUUUACUUAAGAUCUUUGAACCUGUAAAGGCAAUUUCAUGGUAUUUUUUGAGGCCUGAUGUAACUUAAUACUUCGGAGUAAUGGUAUAGAAAAGGAAUGAAAAACACUGGCUUCUCUAUGCAAAAUCCUUCUGCAAUCACAUAAUUGUGGUUUAUCCCCCAUGGUCCGUACAGGUGUUUUCCUGUAGGAUAAACCCUUGGAAUCCCUAAACCUAUUGCUGUGAAUGAGUUGUUUCCUUGUUUGCCUGCCCUUUGUCUACCCAUUUAUGAAAUAAAGAUGGAUAUAAAAUAGCACAUAAUUAGAAGAGCAGCAUUUUGGUUUGGAGUUAAAGGUUAGGAGUGAGUUGGGUUAGGCAUGCUGGACACGCUUGGAGCCCUUCCUCAAUCUCCCCUCUUUUUGUCAUUGUGGGGUUUACAGCCUCUCUUAGCACAUACCACCUUUGGGAAUGGGGUCAGAGAGAAAGCAGCCCAUUGCUGCCCUUGCUAAUGGAAUGACCUUGCUAAUGGAAUGGCUGUGGCCGGGAGCAGACACCCCGGUUCCCGGUGGAUGCCGGG